UGCCUCCCUCUGUGGGGCAAUCGAUCGCGGGGCCCCCAGAUAGAUUGCUCCGCAGAGGGAGGCC
Molecule: microRNA precursor, 64 nt
Filed under: Myotis brandtii (Brandt's bat)
Lineage: Eukaryota; Metazoa; Chordata; Mammalia; Chiroptera; Vespertilionidae
Description: mir-9242 microRNA precursor family
Rfam family: mir-9242 microRNA precursor family
Source: Rfam by way of RNAcentral